Molecule: ribosomal RNA, 115 nt
Filed under: Phlegmacium aurantiohygrophanum
Lineage: Eukaryota; Fungi; Basidiomycota; Agaricomycetes; Agaricales; Cortinariaceae
Description: partial 28S ribosomal RNA
Rfam family: Eukaryotic large subunit ribosomal RNA
Source: RNAcentral
UCAAAUCAGGUAGGACUACCCGCUGAACUUAAGCAUAUCAAUAAGCGGAGGAAAAGAAACUAACAAGGAUUCCCCUAGUAACUGCGAGUGAAGCGGGAAAAGCUCAAAUUUAAAA